GAUCAUGGCUCAGGAUGAACGCUAGCUACAGGCUUAACACAUGCAAGUCGAGGGGCAGCAUGAACUUAGCUUGCUAAGUUUGAUGGCGACCGGCGCACGGGUGAGUAACACGUAUCCAACCUUCCCGUUACUCUGGGAUAGCCUUUCGAAAGAAAGAUUAAUACCGGAUAGUAUCGAGAGAUUGCAUGAUAACCCGAUUAAAGAUUUAUCGGUACGGAUGGGGAUGGCUUCCAUUAGAUAGG
This 242-nucleotide ribosomal RNA is filed under the name uncultured bacterium. RNAcentral describes it as "partial 16S ribosomal RNA". It matches the Rfam family "Bacterial small subunit ribosomal RNA", at positions 15 to 249 of the family's 1533-position model. The record is from RNAcentral.